GCCGGUUUAGCUCAGCAGGAAGAGCGGCUGCCUUGUAAGCAGCAGGACGCUGGUUCGAAGCCAGCAGCCGGCACCA
This 76-nucleotide transfer RNA is filed under the name Desulfurellales bacterium. RNAcentral's name for it is "tRNA-Thr". It matches the Rfam family "tRNA". From Rfam's summary of the family: Transfer RNA (tRNA) molecules are approximately 80 nucleotides in length. Their secondary structure includes four short double-helical elements and three loops (D, anti-codon, and T loops). Further hydrogen bonds mediate the characteristic L-shaped molecular structure. tRNAs have two regions of fundamental functional importance: the anti-codon, which is responsible for specific mRNA codon recognition, and the 3' end, to which the tRNAs corresponding amino acid is attached (by aminoacyl-tRNA synthetases). tRNAs cope with the degeneracy of the genetic code in two manners: having more than one tRNA (with a specific anti-codon) for a particular amino acid; and 'wobble' base-pairing, i.e. permitting non-standard base-pairing at the 3rd anti-codon position. Lineage: Bacteria; Pseudomonadati; Campylobacterota; Desulfurellia; Desulfurellales. The record is from RNAcentral.